This 440-nucleotide ribosomal RNA is filed under the name uncultured bacterium. Its description in RNAcentral is "partial 16S ribosomal RNA". It matches the Rfam family "Bacterial small subunit ribosomal RNA", at positions 338 to 795 of the family's 1533-position model. The record is from RNAcentral.
CCUACGGGAGGCAGCAGUGGGGGAUAUUGCACAAUGGGGGAAACCCUGAUGCAGCGACGCCGCGUGUGGGAAGACGGCCCUCUGGAUUGUAAACCACUGUCCCCAGGGACGAAGAUGACGGUACCUGGGGAGGAAGCUCCGGCUAACUACGUGCCAGCAGCCGCGGUAAUACGUAGGGAGCGAGCGUUGUCCGGAAUUCCUGGGUGUAUAGGGAGCAUAGGCGGGGAUGCAAGUUGGGGGUAAAAACUACCGGUUCAACUGGUAGUCGCACUCAAAACUGCAGCUCUUGAGUGAAGUAGAGGCAGGCGGAAUUCCUAGUGUAGCGGUGAAAUGCGUAGAUAUUAGGAGGAACACCAGUGGCGAAGGCGGCCUGCUGGGCUUUUACUGACGCUGAGGCUCGAAAGUGUGGGGAGCAAACAGGAUUAGAUACCCCAGUAGUC